GCGACCCCAGGAUGGGCGAGGCCACCCGCCGAGUUUAAGCAUAUCA
RNAcentral lists this ribosomal RNA (46 nucleotides) under Dendrobium carrii. RNAcentral describes it as "partial 26S ribosomal RNA". RNAcentral also lists the same sequence under 4 other names. The record is from RNAcentral. Lineage: Eukaryota; Viridiplantae; Streptophyta; Magnoliopsida; Asparagales; Orchidaceae.